This 254-nucleotide ribosomal RNA is filed under the name uncultured bacterium. Its description in RNAcentral is "partial small subunit ribosomal RNA". It matches the Rfam family "Bacterial small subunit ribosomal RNA", at positions 26 to 285 of the family's 1533-position model. The record is from RNAcentral.
AGGACGAACGCUGGCGGCGUGCUUAACACAUGCAAGUCGAGCGGAAAGGCCCUUCGGGGUACUCGAGCGGCGAACGGGUGAGUAACACGUGAGUAAUCUGCCCCUAGCUCUGGGAUAGCUCCGGGAAACCGGGAUUAAUACCGGAUAUGACCACUUUAGACAUCUGCUGUGGUGGAAAGAAUUUCGGCUAGGGAUGAGCUCGCGGCUUAUCAGCUUGUUGGUGGGGUAACGGCCUACCAAGGCGACGACGGGUA